ACUCCUACGGGAGGCAGCAGUGGGGAAUUUUGGACAAUGGGCGAAAGCCUGAUCCAGCAAUGCCGCGUGUGUGAAGAAGGCCUUCGGGUUGUAAAGCACUUUUGUCCGGAAAGAAAUCCUUGGCUCUAAUACAGUCGGGGGAUGACGGUACCGGAAGAAUAAGCACCGGCUAACUACGUGCCAGCAGCCGCGGUAAUACGUAGGGUGCGAGCGUUAAUCGGAAUUACUGGGCGUAAAGCGUGCGCAGGCGGUUUGCUAAGACCGAUGUGAAAUCCCCGGGCUCAACCUGGGAACUGCAUUGGUGACUGGCAGGCUAGAGUAUGGCAGAGGGGGGUAGAAUUCCACGUGUAGCAGUGAAAUGCGUAGAGAUGUGGAGGAAUACCGAUGGCGAAGGCAGCCCCCUGGGCCAAUACUGACGCUCAUGCACGAAAGCGUGGGGAGCAAACAGGAUUAGAAACCCUAGUAGUCCCAUGA
This 474-nucleotide ribosomal RNA is filed under the name uncultured organism. RNAcentral's name for it is "partial 16S ribosomal RNA". It matches the Rfam family "Bacterial small subunit ribosomal RNA", at positions 335 to 800 of the family's 1533-position model. The record is from RNAcentral.